This 246-nucleotide long non-coding RNA is filed under the name Sorghum bicolor (sorghum). RNAcentral's name for it is "long non-coding RNA (SBIC_LNC017931)". Lineage: Eukaryota; Viridiplantae; Streptophyta; Magnoliopsida; Poales; Poaceae. The record is from RNAcentral.
GUGUGUUUGUGCUCGUAGAUCUAGGUUCUUCACUUGGUGGAGUCUGGGAGUUGUAAAAGUCCUUCAUAUUUUGCUCGAAGUGUACCUGCUCAUAGAGACAAGGCAGAGAUCAAGUGCAUGGGCCCUGUUGGUGGAAAACACCAGCAGAACCAAAAGUGUAUUUGUUCUUCUCUAACCUUAAACAUAGUGAGCAAGACAAAGUCGAUGGAUAAUAAGAUCAUGAGUGUAGCAUUUAAAACAUUUGUC